RNAcentral lists this ribosomal RNA (480 nucleotides) under uncultured bacterium. RNAcentral describes it as "partial 16S ribosomal RNA". It matches the Rfam family "Bacterial small subunit ribosomal RNA", at positions 899 to 1397 of the family's 1533-position model. The record is from RNAcentral.
ACUCAAAUGAAUAGACGGGGGCCCGCACAAGCAGCGGAGCGUGUGGUUUAAUUCGAUGCAACGCGAAGAACCUUACCUAGACUUGACAUGACGGUGCAAGCCGGGGAAACCCGGCCCUCCUUCGGGACACCGCCACAGAUGUUGCAUGGCUGUCGUCAGCUCGUGUCGUGAGAUGUUGGGUUAAGUCCCGCAACGAGCGCAACCCCCGUGGUCUGUUGGACUUUUCAGACCAGACUGCCUACAAAAUAGGAGGAAGGUGGGGAUGACGUCAAGUCCGCAUGGCUCUUACGUCUAGGGCUACACACACGCUACAAUGGCCGGGACAAUGCGCAGCCACGGGGCGACCCGGAGCGAAUCGCCAAACCCGGUCUCAGUUCGGAUGGCAGGCUGCAACUCGCCUGCCUGAAGUCGGAGUUGCUAGUAACCGCAUGUCAGCACAGUGCGGUGAAUAUGUUCCCGGGCCUUGUACACACCGCCCGU